This 468-nucleotide ribosomal RNA is filed under the name uncultured bacterium. RNAcentral's name for it is "partial 16S ribosomal RNA". It matches the Rfam family "Bacterial small subunit ribosomal RNA", at positions 28 to 507 of the family's 1533-position model. The record is from RNAcentral.
GACGAACGCUGGCGGCGUGCUUAACACAUGCAAGUCGAACGGAAAGGCCCUGCUUUUGUGGGGUGCUCGAGUGGCGAACGGGUGAGUAACACGUGAGUAACCUGCCCUUGACUUUGGGAUAACUUCAGGAAACUGGGGCUAAUACCGGAUAGGAGCUCCUGCUGCAUGGUGGGGGUUGGAAAGUUUCGGCGGUUGGGGAUGGACUCGCGGCUUAUCAGCUUGUUGGUGGGGUAGUGGCUUACCAAGGCUUUGACGGGUAGCCGGCCCGAGAGGGUGACCGGCCACAAUGGGACUGAGAUACGGGCCCAUCUCCUACGGGGGGGAACGGUGGGGGAUAUUGCAAAACGGGGGCGAGUCGGAUCCCAGAACGCCGCGUUGGGGGAAGCGGCCUUUGGGUUGAAAACCGAUUUUGCCCAUUGCCAAGCCGGAGUGGCGGUAAAUGGUGAAGAAGCACCGGCUAACUACGUG